GCCUUUGUGGUGUAAUGGUCAGCACGCUUGGCGCGUAUUCGAGAGGGCCAUGGUUCGAGUCCCGACGAGGGCA
This is a non-coding RNA of Stegodyphus mimosarum, 73 nucleotides long. The record is from Rfam. NCBI's taxonomy places the organism in Eukaryota, Metazoa, Arthropoda, Arachnida, Araneae, Eresidae.